RNAcentral lists this ribosomal RNA (301 nucleotides) under uncultured bacterium. RNAcentral's name for it is "partial 16S ribosomal RNA". It matches the Rfam family "Bacterial small subunit ribosomal RNA", at positions 509 to 807 of the family's 1533-position model. The record is from RNAcentral.
CAGUAGCCACGGGAAUACGAAGGGGGCUAGCGUUGCUCGGAAUUACUGGGCGUAAAGGGCGCGUAGGCGGAUAGUUUAGUCAGAGGUGAAAGCCCAGGGCUCAACCUUGGAAUUGCCUUUGAUACUGGCUAUCUUGAGUUCGGAAGAGGUAAGUGGAAUGCCGAGUGUAGAGGUGAAAUUCGUAGAUAUUCGGCGGAACACCAGUGGCGAAGGCGACUUACUGGUCCGAUACUGACGCUGAGGCGCGAAAGCGUGGGGAGCAAACAGGAUUAGAGACCCCCGUAGUCCCUGUCUCUUAUAC